Molecule: ribosomal RNA, 245 nt
Filed under: uncultured microorganism
Description: partial small subunit ribosomal RNA
Rfam family: Bacterial small subunit ribosomal RNA
Source: RNAcentral
UACGGAGGGUGCAAGCGUUAAUCGGAAUUACUGGGCGUAAAGCGCACGCAGGCGGUUUGUUAAGUCAGAUGUGAAAUCCCCGGGCUCAACCUGGGAACUGCAUUUGAAACUGGCAAGCUUGAGUCUUGUAGAGGGGGGUAGAAUUCCAGGUGUAGCGGUGAAAUGCAUAGAGAUCUGGAGGAAUACCGGUGGCGAAGGCGGCCCCCUGGACAAAGACUGACGCUCAGGUGCGAAAGCGUGGGAGC